Molecule: ribosomal RNA, 442 nt
Filed under: uncultured bacterium
Lineage: Bacteria
Description: bacterial SSU rRNA
Rfam family: Bacterial small subunit ribosomal RNA
Source: RNAcentral
GGCGAACGGUGUGAGUAAGCACGUGGUGUAUCUGCCCUCGGAAUCGGGAUAGCCCGGGGAAACCCGGAUUGAAUACCGAAUAGUCCUCCGGAGCCUUCGGGCGCCGGAGAAAAGGUAGCUUUGGCCUCUGGCCCGAGGAUGAGCCCGCGGCGGAUUAGCUUGUUGGCGGGGUAACGGCCCACCAAGGCGACGAUCCGUAGCUGGUCUGAGAGGACGAUCAGCCACACUGGGACUGAGACACGGUCCAGAUUCAUACGGGAGGCAGCAGUGGGGAAUCUUGCGCUAAUGCGGGAAACCGUGACGCAGCGACGCCGCGUGGGGGAAGAAGGCCUUUGGGUUGUAAACCUCUUUCAGGAGGGACGAAGGCUACUCGGGUGAAUAGCCCAGAGGGUGACGGUACCUUCAGAAGAAGCCCCGGCUAACUACGUGCCAGCCUCCGCGG